This is a long non-coding RNA of Clupea harengus (Atlantic herring), 1117 nucleotides long. NCBI's taxonomy places the organism in Eukaryota, Metazoa, Chordata, Actinopteri, Clupeiformes, Clupeidae. The record is from Ensembl.
CACACACACUCAUUACAUAUUUGCCAAAGCGCAAGCCAUUAUUGCAAAGCUUUGAAUAGCUAGCUAGCUAGCAGCAUGAAGCAAACGAAGUACUCAAGAUGCGCUGUGGUGGGCCGCACAGAUCUCUACAUCACGUUCCAGCCUCAGAAGACACGAGCGAAAUGGAUUUAAUUCAUAUUUGAAGGCAAUGUCCCUGAAUGAACUUCAGGCGAGGGAAAUAACAUCUGAACAGUGUCCUAGGCUACAUCAUGUGGCCUGUCAGACAGAUCCUCCAAAGCACCAUCUGGAGCAGAAGAGCAGGACCACCCAGAUUCUCCGUCCCAGAAAGCCCCAAGACCUGCUAACAAAGCUUCUGUACACCAAAUACCUGUAACGUCUGAGCAAAGUUUACAUUGUAUUUAGAGAAUAAAUGGUGACACACAUCUAUUGAGUCUUCCUUUGUUAACAGUAUGGCUACUGAUGGCACAAAUUGUGAUUUUGUAAUCAAUGUUUUUAUUAUAAUUGGUCUUUUUUGUAUUUAUUACCCAUGUACUAGCCAGUACAUUUAAUAACUAUGUUUAAAAAGCUCUGUGGCAUUCUUUGAAGCAAGUCUAUAGAAACAGUUUUGGUAUGUAACAUGUCAACAGUUGACACAUGCAAGAUGAGCAGUAAGCAAAGUAAGACAGAGGGAAGAUGAAUUUAUUGUAUUUUCUUCCCCAGUUAUAUUUGUAUUGCAGAAAUCACUGAUGACUCAUAUGCAUAAAAAACAAAACAACUUACUGCUAUAUUCCCCUUAGACAUAAGGCCCAUAGUCUGCUCUAUAGAUGUUGAAUGCAUUCUUUAGUGAGAACACAUUCAAUCACACAGCUAAAAGUCCCGGAUGAUGCACGUUGGUUGGUUUGGAAGCUGCAGUAGUCUUCUUGUUACCUUGAAUAUUGAAAGUGUAAGUAUCAUGGAAUAUAAAACAAGAUGACUGCAUAAUUACCAUGUCAUUCACAAAUAAUUUUACCUGUGGCAUCUCCCUGCAGCAUCCAUUCUCAGGCUCUGUAGGCAUUUGCUUACACUUGGCACAAUUACGCCUGUAUAGAUAAAGGGUUUUAAAAAGUGACAACAUUGCAGGUGAAGUGUAUUUGAAUGU